RNAcentral lists this transfer RNA (77 nucleotides) under Bacteroidota bacterium. Its description in RNAcentral is "Bacteroidetes bacterium (freshwater sediment metagenome) tRNA-Met". It matches the Rfam family "tRNA". From Rfam's summary of the family: Transfer RNA (tRNA) molecules are approximately 80 nucleotides in length. Their secondary structure includes four short double-helical elements and three loops (D, anti-codon, and T loops). Lineage: Bacteria; Pseudomonadati; Bacteroidota. RNAcentral also lists the same sequence under 3 other names. The record is from RNAcentral.
GGGCCCAUAGCUCAGUUGGUUAGAGUAGCUGACUCAUAAUCAGUUGGUCGCUGGUUCGAGCCCAGCUGGGCCCACCA